UAACAUCGCUGAGAUUUGUGCCAUCUAC
RNAcentral lists this small RNA (28 nucleotides) under Bombyx mori (domestic silkworm). Its description in RNAcentral is "ovarian small RNA-2852". Lineage: Eukaryota; Metazoa; Arthropoda; Insecta; Lepidoptera; Bombycidae. The record is from RNAcentral.